Rosa rugosa (rugosa rose) is the source of this 1341-nucleotide long non-coding RNA. RefSeq lists it as uncharacterized. Lineage: Eukaryota; Viridiplantae; Streptophyta; Magnoliopsida; Rosales; Rosaceae. The record is from RefSeq and is a predicted model, not a curated record. The transcript is spliced from 2 exons.
GUGUCCAAUGUCUCCUUCUCCGUUCAAUUCUUCAGUUAACUCUGAUACUUCAGGGGCUAAAAUGGUCAUUUCAUAAAAUUUUAAGAGAAAGAAAACACAAAAUCUCCCCAUCUGUUCCCCAGUCUCUCAGCUCUUCUUCUUCUUCUUAUGAUCUUCUUCUUCUUCUUCUCAUAGCAGUAACAUAGAAACCAAAGACCCAUCUCUAAUUUUUUCUCAAUUUUCACAUUCCUCACCCCAAAAUCAAAUCUUUGGAAUCACCCAUUUCACAAUGUCUACCGGAAUUGUGACCCGGUUCAAGGAAGUGGGCCAAUCGACGAUGGCGGCGCACCAGCUGUGGUCCGAAUUCACCGACUCGACCGCCCUCAGCCUCCCUUCAAGCCUCUUCGACGCCUCGACCCGAGUCUUCCAGAACUUGACCCGGUUCUUCUUCUUCUUCUUAUUCAGAUAAUCACAUGCCUAAACCAACAAUUUAUCGACGAGGUGGGAGCCGGCGCCACCGGUGACGACGAUCCUGAGCCUGCGCCUUGCCGGCGUUGUUGCGAAGGUCGGGGGAGAAGGAGCCUCCAAGGUUGCGUCGGUUUUCUGGAAGGAGAAUGAGCUAAACAUGGUUGAUACGCCGGGACAUGCAGACUUUGGUGGUGAAGUAUGCCACUAGAGUGACUAGACUGACUCAUUUAGUAUUGUUUUUCGAUUCAAUGCAAAUUUUAUGGAUUUUGAGUAAUCAUUUCAUUGGUUUUUCUGCAAUGGAUGGAUAUAGGUUGAGCGGGUUGUUGGUAUGGUUGAAGGGGCAGUUUUAGUUGUUGAUGCCGAGGAAGAUCUGCUAGCACAGACCAAGUUUGUGCUUGCCAAAGCCUUAAAAUACGGGCUGCGUCCUAUUCUUCUUCUAAACAAAGUAGAUCGGCCUGGCAGGUACUUAUUCUCGUCUUUAAUUUGCAAAAUGUGCAAAUUAAACAAUUGCAUGAAUAAUAUGAUAGUGGAAAGACUAAUUAAGGAAAACAUGUAGUGGACCUGUUUACCCAAAUCAUUGUAGCUCCAGCGUGCUGGGUGAAUUCCUUGAGUUGAAGAAGGGUUUGAGUUGCAUGAGAAGAUGAAGAUUAAUGGGGUUGUUCAUAACAUGCGUACUUAUACUUGUUUGAUCAGUGGUUGUUGCAUCGAUGAAAAAAUAGUGCCUUGACCCUGUUCGAUGAAAUGCGUGAGAAGAGGAAUGGCCUGCAAUGUGGUCACAGACAACAUCCUAAUUGGUGGGUUGUGUCGAGAAAUGAAGGUUUGGGAAGAUGACAUAUACAAUUGUAAUUGAUGCCUUGGUUUGAUCCAAUGACAUUGGGAAGAGCUUUUCAUGUG